RNAcentral lists this transfer RNA (84 nucleotides) under Dallia pectoralis (Alaska blackfish). RNAcentral's name for it is "tRNA-OTHER". It matches the Rfam family "tRNA". Rfam says of the family: Transfer RNA (tRNA) molecules are approximately 80 nucleotides in length. Their secondary structure includes four short double-helical elements and three loops (D, anti-codon, and T loops). The record is from RNAcentral. Lineage: Eukaryota; Metazoa; Chordata; Actinopteri; Esociformes; Umbridae.
GUCACGAUGGCCGAGUGGUCUAAGGCGCCAGACUCAAGUUCUGGUCUCCAUAUGGAGGCGUGGGUUCAAAUCCCACUUCUGACA